CCUACGGGAGGCUGCAGUGGGGAAUAUUGGACAAUGGGGGGAACCCUGAUCCAGCCAUGCCGCGUGUGUGAAGAAGGCCCUCGGGUUGUAAAGCACUUUCAGUGAGGAAGAACGCCUGGUGGUUAAUACCCAUCAGGAAAGACAUCACUCACAGAAGAAGCACCGGCUAACUCCGUGCCAGCAGCCGCGGUAAUACGGAGGGUGCGAGCGUUAAUCGGAAUUACUGGGCGUAAAGCGCGCGUAGGUGGCUUGAUAAGCCGGUUGUGAAAGCCCCGGGCUCAACCUGGGAACGGCAUCCGGAACUGUCAAGCUAGAGUUCAGGAGAGGAAGGUAGAAUUCCCGGUGUAGCGGUGAAAUGCGUAGAGAUCGGGAGGAAUACCAGUGGCGAAGGCGGCCUUCUGGACUGACACUGACACUGAGGUGCGAAAGCGUGGGUAGCAAACAGGAUUAGAUACCCUGGUAGUC
Molecule: ribosomal RNA, 465 nt
Filed under: Vreelandella stevensii
Lineage: Bacteria; Pseudomonadati; Pseudomonadota; Gammaproteobacteria; Oceanospirillales; Halomonadaceae
Description: partial 16S ribosomal RNA
Rfam family: Bacterial small subunit ribosomal RNA
Source: RNAcentral